GUUGGGGUGUCGUGGCGGCGACGUUUAAAUCUGAAUAUUCGUGGCAUCAGUGUCUUCACGAUUUCCAGGACGAGUCUUUGGUCAGACGGGGUUUUGACCUUAAAUUCACCAAGAGUGUGUGGAGUGCAGUGGGUGAGUCUUUGUCCUUUGCUGUGAGUGUAUACACUUGAAAAUUGCAGUGUUGUGUCGUCAACAACCACCUUUCAGGCCCGACGAAAUCCUGUGAAGGAAGUGAGUACCGAGGCGGGCGAAGAAAACAUCUCCAAUUAUAUGCCGUCGAUGACAUCCUGACCCUUCUUCCCCACGUGACGGUGGUGGGAAACAAUUUCAAAAAGAAGAGGGAAGCGUUCGACCCAUCCAGUGUAGUACACCCUGGGUGAAACAACUUACCUGUGUGUGACGCCAGCGGAGGCCGUGUUCGGCCCAACGCAACAGUAGUUUUCGAUCCGCCUCUCUAUCAGCAGUUGGUAGAAGCCUCAGAAAAGGAAUGUCUGACGUCUAUUCCCUUGAAGAUCUAGCGGGUCCCAUUGAAGCGUCUACCUGCAUGUCGACUCGUCACUCAGGAUACAGAGACCGCGGAAACCCCCUCCCGUACACUUACCAGUACGGUUUUAGUUGGAUCCCGGCAGCCCUUGUGCAGUUCCACCAGCAUCUGGACGACCGGGAGUACAACCCGCUGGGCCGCCUCGGAGUUCGUCAAAAGUAGCAGCAGGUAUCCAUUGUGCAUCCGAACUCUCAAUACUUACCACUUGUAUCUGUUACGUCCAGGAAAGGAGAGGGCCCUGGACAGUCGUCCUGCAAGCCAGAACAAAGGGGCACUUGUGAAUAAGCUGAUUGUCGUCACAUAGCCAGAAGGAAAGAGGAGUGAAGGACUCACCUGAGAUCUCCCGUGACGGAGUCUAAGAGACUCGAGACUGUUACUCUCCAAAAGGAGAGUUGGAUUUUAGCCUCCCUUCCCC
This is a long non-coding RNA of Cyprinus carpio carpio, 959 nucleotides long. NCBI's taxonomy places the organism in Eukaryota, Metazoa, Chordata, Actinopteri, Cypriniformes, Cyprinidae. The record is from Ensembl.